UGGCUCAGUGGUUAAGAGCACUGCCCCUUCCAGAGGACCUGGGUUCAAUUCCCAG
Molecule: transfer RNA, 55 nt
Filed under: Neotoma lepida (desert woodrat)
Lineage: Eukaryota; Metazoa; Chordata; Mammalia; Rodentia; Cricetidae
Source: Rfam by way of RNAcentral